AAAGGACUUUGAAAAU
Molecule: small RNA, 16 nt
Filed under: Arabidopsis thaliana (thale cress)
Lineage: Eukaryota; Viridiplantae; Streptophyta; Magnoliopsida; Brassicales; Brassicaceae
Description: ATSL254850
Source: RNAcentral